UCCAGACUCCUACGGGAGGCAGCAGUGAGGAAUAUUGGUCAAUGGUCGGGAGACUGAACCAGCCAAGCCGCGUGAGGGAGGAAGGUACAGAGUAUCGUAAACCUCUUUUGUCAGGGAACAAAGGCGGGGACGUGCCCCCGGAUGAGUGUACCUGAAGAAAAAGCAUCGGCUAACUCCGUGCCAGCAGCCGCGGUAAUACGGAGGAUGCGAGCGUUAUCCGGAUUUAUUGGUUUAAAGGGUGCGCAGGCGGAGGUGCAAGUCAGCGGUCAAAUUGCGGGGCUCAACCCCGUACUGCCGUUGAAACUGCAUCCCUUGAGUGCGCGAGAAGUAUGCGGAAUGCGUGGUGUAGCGGUGAAAUGCAUAGAUAUCACGCAGAACUCCGAUUGCGAAGGCAGCAUACCGGCGCUCAACUGACGCUCAUGCACGAAAGUGUGGGUAUCGAACAGGAUUAGAUACCCUUGUA
This 463-nucleotide ribosomal RNA is filed under the name uncultured bacterium. Its description in RNAcentral is "bacterial SSU rRNA". It matches the Rfam family "Bacterial small subunit ribosomal RNA", at positions 330 to 792 of the family's 1533-position model. The record is from RNAcentral.